Molecule: long non-coding RNA, 1317 nt
Organism: Clarias gariepinus (North African catfish)
Lineage: Eukaryota; Metazoa; Chordata; Actinopteri; Siluriformes; Clariidae
Exons: 3
Source: RefSeq, a predicted model, not a curated record
ACGAGAGAACAGGGAUGAGGAUAUGUGUAUUAAGUUUCUUUUUAAGUUUAUACUUACGAUGGGUCAACGUGUAAGGUAAUAUAGAGAUGCAUAGACAUUAAAUCAAGUAAUGGAACAGUAAAAACAUAGUAAUUAUUGUCUGGAGCAUAUGUUGUUACACACUAACUUUGGUGUUGCAUUCAGUUAGCGUCUUUGUUAAUAAUACUUCAAUUUGGUUUGUCUGGGGUUGAGCAUCUUACAAAUUACACCAUUGUAUUUCCAAGGAGCCUUCUCUUGGCAAUCCAGAGGAUAGAGAUGUUGGGGAAGCUGAGUCUCCUUCUCCCAGGUGGUCUCCUGCACACAGCCCUUCAAGUCCACAUGAAACCGACAUAGAGUCUGAGGGCAAGAAUGUUGUUGGAGGUGAAUCUCCUUCUGCCAGGCACACUGAAACACAGGACUCUAACAAUUCAUCAGCACCUUCUUCUGCGGACAGUGGUUCAGCUGACAACCUUUUUUUUAAAUAUACCUUGCCGACAGGCCCAUGGUUUUUUUUUUUAUUAUUGAUAGAAAGGAUUGGACAGACCUACGUAAACAACAGGUUGGACACCAGUUCAAAGACCUACAAUGGACAAAUGUAAUAGUAAAAGGAAUACGUUCUGUCCACCCAUAUUGCAGCAUAGCAUUCAAAAGGCAUACAGUCAAAAGGAAAGUGUCAAAAAGAAGAGGGCCUAUAUUCCAUUGCCUGGCCUAUUGCAGAUUUGCAGAUUGCCCUGUUUGUAUUGAAGUGAUUGUACAUGACGAGAGUACUCUGAAAGCCUGGGUGACAUUUCAGGGAGUGGAGGUUUGCCAUGGUAUGGCUGAAUUACAAACAAGCUGAUGAGAGAGACAUUAUUGGCAAGCAGUUAGAGACAAUCCUUCCAAGAGCCUUACAUUUACAGUCUCUGGAAAAAAUCGAACCUAGUGUCUUCGAAUCAGGAUGUCGAGACCAAGCACCCACACCUGAAGUCCUCAAAAAUAUAGCUUUCAAAACACGGAAAAAAUUCAGAAGACAUGACAAUGAACUGUUAAGUCUUCAGAAAAUGGUUGAAGAAAAAACAGAUGAAGAUAAUGAUGUAUUACAGAAGGUGCUCUUACAUCUCAAAGGAGUAAUGCUAUGGUCCAAAGCCACAAUCCGGCUUUUCCAUCAGAGAUGCAGAGAUGAUGUUGUGUAUAUCGAUGCCACAGGAAGCAUUAUACAGAAAGUACAAGGAGAAUCAGCACCCAUAUAUGUGUACGAGUUGAUGGUGAGACAUCCUAUUAAAGGCCGCUCUCCCAUCCCUGUAGCAACUUAUGUAACCU